RNAcentral lists this long non-coding RNA (681 nucleotides) under Coccomyxa subellipsoidea. RNAcentral describes it as "long non-coding RNA (CSUB_LNC000081)". The record is from RNAcentral. Lineage: Eukaryota; Viridiplantae; Chlorophyta; Trebouxiophyceae; Coccomyxaceae.
UUCGAUUCGAUGAAAGAAAUAUGCAGUAAAUCAUCAUCUUAGAGCUUUGUAGUCGGCUGUCAAGCUGGUAUGGCUCGCAUCCAUCAGCAGAUCGUGUUGGUGGCAACUAGGACUCAGUCAGCAAUCACCACAUGGUACGCCUUUCGACGCCAGAUAUACGAUGUAACGAUCUACUGGAAUUUAUUUUAUUUCAAGCACACGAUUGGAUGCUCACAUUCUCCCACUUUAAAAUAAGUCUCAAAGACAUCGUCGUGAGUGCAGACUUUCUGUGUAGGGAUGUUGAUACUGGUACACAUCUCGCUUCCUUCAAGGACAACUGCAGCGUCCCGAACUCGUUGACGCUGGUAGGGCGAGACUACUUUGUUGCCGCUCAGCACCCCAAGGGAUCUCUGCACUUCUGGACCUGGCACAAGGUACUAUCGUCAUUUUAGUGAAGCAACGAGCGCAGAUACCCGUGCAAACUGUACGAUGAAGCGCAGCUUUUAUCGAACCAAAUGGCCUAGGUUAUUGCAGUCUGGCUUUCUGGCAGCAGGCAAUGCUGGGAUUCCUACAGUCUGCUUUUUGGCAGCUGGCAAUGCUGAAAUUCCUGUGGUCUCUAGAACCUGGCCACUAGCAUAUUAUUUAGACUGGGUAAGUUGGCCCUGAGCAGCUAGGAUGGAAGCUUUUCCUGUACUGGUGCAG